GCCCCUGUGGCGGAAUUUGGUAUACGCGAUAGGUUUAGGACCUAUUGGUCGCAAGACCUUAGAGGUUCGAGUCCUCUCAGGGGCA
Molecule: transfer RNA, 85 nt
Filed under: Patescibacteria group bacterium
Lineage: Bacteria
Description: tRNA-Leu
Rfam family: tRNA
About the family: Transfer RNA (tRNA) molecules are approximately 80 nucleotides in length. Their secondary structure includes four short double-helical elements and three loops (D, anti-codon, and T loops). Further hydrogen bonds mediate the characteristic L-shaped molecular structure. tRNAs have two regions of fundamental functional importance: the anti-codon, which is responsible for specific mRNA codon recognition, and the 3' end, to which the tRNAs corresponding amino acid is attached (by aminoacyl-tRNA synthetases). tRNAs cope with the degeneracy of the genetic code in two manners: having more than one tRNA (with a specific anti-codon) for a particular amino acid; and 'wobble' base-pairing, i.e. permitting non-standard base-pairing at the 3rd anti-codon position.
Source: RNAcentral